Molecule: ribosomal RNA, 1434 nt
Filed under: metagenome
Description: SSU rRNA
Rfam family: Eukaryotic small subunit ribosomal RNA
Source: RNAcentral
UCGAUAGCCUCUUACGAGUGACGGGGAAUAGUGGUUUGACUCCGGAGAAGGAGCCUGAGAGACGGCUACUACAUCUAAGGAAGGCAGCAGGCGCGCAAAUUUCCCAAUGCUCAAUGAGCGAGGAAGUGACGAAUAUUAACAAACUUUUUUCUCUUAAGAAGAAAGUAUUGGAAUGACUACAAUUUACAACCCUUAAGGAGGAUCAAUUGGAGGGCAAGUCUGGUGCCAGCAGCCGCGGUAAUUCCAGCUCCAAUAGUAGAUAUCAAAAUUGUUGCAGUUGAAAAGCUCGUAGUUGAGAUUCUGGGAAGUGUCGCUAUUCUAGGCUUGACGCAAGUCAUUCUAGUUGGUGAGCUUUCCAUCUUGUGGAAUCCGCGUUGUUCGUUCGUUCGGAUGACGUGCCACUCAGUUACUGAGAGCAAAUUGGAGUGCUCAAAGCAGGCUAUACAGCUUUGAACAAUUAAGCUUGGAAUAACAAUUAACGACUUGUUUGUAAUUGUUGGUUGUACAUUAACAAGUAAUGCUUGAAAGGGAACAGUUGUCGGGGAUAUUCGUAUGAGCAAGUCAGAGGUGAAAUUCAAGGAUUUUGCUUAGACGAACGACUGCGAAAGCAUCUAUCCAGCAUGUUUUCAUCAAUCAAGAACGAAAGUAAAGGGAUCGAAGAUGAUUAGAUACCAUCGUAGUCUUUACCAUAAACGAUGCCGACUCGGGAUUGUCAAUGUUCUUUUUUAGACGUUGGCAGAACCGUAUGAGAAAUCAUUAAGUUUUUGGGUUCCGGGGGGAGUACGUGCGCAAGCAUGAAACUUUAAGGAAUUGACGGAAAUCUACACCAGAGGUGGAGCCUGCGGUUUAAUUUGACUCAACACGGGAAAACUUACCAGGUCCAGACAUAAGGAGGAUUGACAGUUUGAAAGCACUUUCUUGAUUUUAUGGGUGGUGGUGCAUGGCCGUUCUUAGUUGGUGGAGUGAUUUGUCUUCUUAAUUGCGAUAACGGACGAGACUCGUACGCUCUAAUGGGGGCUCGUAUCUUGCGAUACUUGACCCCCUCUACAGCGGACAACUCUUGAUAAAAGAGAGGAAGAGACGAGCAAUAACAGGUCUGUGAUGCCCUUAGAUGUUCUGGGCCACACGCGCGCUACAAUGACAAAGUCAACGAGUAUUUGUUCCUUGCUCGGAAGAGUGUGGGUAAUCUUGUAAAUCUUUGUCGUGAUGGGGCUAGAGUUUUGUGAUUAUUACUCUUCAACGAGGAAUCUCUAGUAUGUGCAAGUCAUUAGCUUGCGCAGAAUGCGUCCCUGGAUUUUGUACACACCGCCCGUCGCACCUACCGAUUGGAUGUCUCCACGAGGUGUUUGGAGAUGAUUUGAUUCGCUUGCGUUUCUUAUCGUCAAAAUCCCCCGAAUGGCUAUAUCUAGAGGAAGGUGAAGUCGUAACAAGGUU